CAACUGAUUUAUUUGUUUGUCCACAUACUCCAGUUGAUUAAUCGAUUACUAAAUCAGUUGAUAAUUGUUUAAAUAAUCGAUUGAUCGUGAUUAAUACGAUUAAUCAUUCCAGCCCAAGGGAAUUUCACUACUCUGCUUUCCUGCCUUUAUACUCCACAACCUGAAUCUUGGCUCUGAGCAAAAGAAAUUCCACUUGCUGGCUUAAGCUAAUGACAUAAUCUUUACAGAAAUGUUUAAACAGAAGUCAGCAUGUAAUAUCCAACAUGAGCCCGCUGUAGCUGCGGCUAAUCUUUGCUUUGUGUCAUAAUGUCCUUGUGCUACUAGUUGAGGGCAGCGCAGCAGAGGUCAGUCUCCUCUAAUUCACACACAUGGGGAAUGCUUAAGCAGAUUCACACACUCCUGAUGUACAAAAGUUGUCUUACUGUAGUAAUCCAUUUCUGCCUUCUAGCGGAGAGAGCGAGAUAAAAAAAGGGGGGAAUGUUGAUUGGAUUAGGCAACAUCUAAAAGACAAUUUUCCCCUCGCUAUUUUUAGACAAAAGAGUGAAUAAAAAGUAAGAAAAACACAAAAAAAUCUUAUUAACUUGUAUUAAAAGGAUCAAAAGGUUCGUUUUCUUGUCCAUAAAGCUACAAAUCUUGCUUAAAUUAGUAGAAAACAUCUUUCAUAUCAUAUUUCUCGCAUUUUGUACCUGAGCUUUGCCAUUUUGUCCCAGUCUACUUCCAUAGUUCAUACUUGUAAACAAACCGUUUCAUACUCAUGUACUUAACCAUUGUACUACUUCAUGUCAGUUAAUUAAUUUUCUUUAUUUUUAAGUAUAUUUUGUUAGUUAACAAGAGUAAGAAGAAUUUGUAGUUACAAUGACGUAAAAUAUUGCAAUCAAAAUGUUCCAUUUUGCACUUUUUUUUGUCUCACUGAAAUGUUUUAAAUAAAUCCGAAUAUCAGAUGAUAAGAAUCUAAGAAAAUUCAACAAACAGUUUUCAAAUGAUCAAUUCUUUAUUAAAGUUAAAAAACUGGUCAAAUCAAACUGAAUAUAUAAUCAUCUGUUAAAUGCAAUAUGAACUCUGAUAAACUAUAAUGUUUUGGUUCAGCUUAACUAGCCGUCCAGUCACAGGUCAAGUGAUUUCUUGACCUGUAGAUUCAAGAAAUCACUUAGUAAGAACCUGUGUGGCACAGGAAGUAGGCUAACAGAUCUCAAAAAGCAACACAGCAUGCCCUAGCCCCAAGAACAUUUAAAAAACAGAUUAGAAACAAAGUCAACUUGUGUCUGUUUUCCAUAAAUGGAGAAAAAAAUGGAACAGUGGUGGCCAAAAUUACUCCAAAAGCAUAUCAACGAACCAACCAGGAGGCAACAAAACAAUAAAAACUAUAACAACCUGAAAAAUACUGCCUCAAAGCUCAGUGAUCGUG
This is a long non-coding RNA of Xiphophorus couchianus (Monterrey platyfish), 1405 nucleotides long. RefSeq lists it as uncharacterized. The record is from RefSeq and is a predicted model, not a curated record. Lineage: Eukaryota; Metazoa; Chordata; Actinopteri; Cyprinodontiformes; Poeciliidae. The transcript is spliced from 3 exons.